GAUGAAGAACGCAGCGAAAUGCGAUAAGUAAUGUGAAUUGCAGAAUUCAGUGAAUCAUCGAAUCUUUGAACGCACAUUGCGCCCGCUAGUAUUCUGGCGGGCAUGCCUGUCCGAGCGUCAUUUCAACCCUCAAGCCCCCGGGCUUGGUGUUGGGGAUCGGCGAGCCUCCGCGCCCGCCGUCCCCUAAAUCUAGUGGCGGUCUCGCUGUAGCUUCCUCCGUAGUAGCACACCUCGCACUGGGAAACAGCGCGGCCACGCCGUUAAACCCCCAACUUCUGAACGUUUGACCUCGGAUCAGGUAGGAAUACCCGCUGAACUUAAGCAUAUCAAUAAGCGGAGGA
RNAcentral lists this unclassified non-coding RNA (341 nucleotides) under soil metagenome. Its description in RNAcentral is "partial contains 5.8S ribosomal RNA, internal transcribed spacer 2, and large subunit ribosomal RNA". The stretch from base 1 to 120 matches the Rfam family "5.8S ribosomal RNA", at positions 35 to 154 of the family's 154-position model. The record is from RNAcentral.